Molecule: transfer RNA, 77 nt
Filed under: Aeromonas caviae
Lineage: Bacteria; Pseudomonadati; Pseudomonadota; Gammaproteobacteria; Aeromonadales; Aeromonadaceae
Description: tRNA-Val
Rfam family: tRNA
About the family: Transfer RNA (tRNA) molecules are approximately 80 nucleotides in length. Their secondary structure includes four short double-helical elements and three loops (D, anti-codon, and T loops).
Source: RNAcentral
GCGUCCUUAGCUCAGCUGGUUAGAGCACCACCUUGACAUGGUGGGGGUCGGUGGUUCGAAUCCACUAGGAUGCACCA